UUAUUUAAAGGAGAAGAGAGAAACCGAUCCGUACAGAAAUCUAUUGGCUCGACUUACUUACCAGGCUACGCAUGGCCCUACAAAUGAAGUCCCGACUUUUCAAAUCUGAGCAUUGAUUCUUUGUAAUCUCUGAGAAGAUCUGCAAGAGCUUCAGGAAAUAAAGGUAGCAUCAGUUCAUGGAAAAAAAGUAGUUGAUACUUUAGACAAACAGUUCAAGAUUGUUGAUUCUUGAUUAGAUAGUAGAAUUUGUUUGAAGAAAAGAACAAGAAAAACGUAGAUAGAUCACACGUUUGUUAAUACUGCACAUAGGGUCUUGUAAUAGACAUUCAUAGCCGUUCAAGACGGAAGAAUAGUGUCUGUUCUCUGUAGAUUAAUUACAACACUAUUUUUUCAGUGAAAUGGAGUAAAAGUACUAUUGUAUUUGGUACAUGUGGUGAUCAGCUUGGGGACGAGUCUUCCCUGGUCACGACGGUAUGUAUUUUGCAAAUAUUAAUAUUUUAUUGAUAUAUUUACAAUUAAUGGCAUGGACCCAUCAGAUUUUCAAGUGUGUCGACGGAAGAAGGUGGACUAAUUUUGCAAUUUGCUAAGUAGCCGUUUCGUACGGUUCACGUGAGCUGCCUGAUUGGGGGAGCAUGUGGGCUCACAGAGUCACUGUCUGUCGGACCAACAGACCAAAUUAGUGUCAAAGAAUAAAAAUAUCUAGGUGAUGGGGUUCUUAACUAAUGAAAUAAAGCUUUGGGGUGAAGAUGUCCGUAAUGAACUUAAAAUUCGGAUUGCUUGAUAACAAAAUGAUUUUAAGCUAAUAUAGUACUGCCAAAUCAUCUAUAAAUUUGUCGUUGUUGGUGAUAAGUUUUUUCAUCGAUCAAGAGCUUCUUGUCAUAAAAAUGAUAGAAACAUAUCCAAGCCUGCUCAUCUAAGAAGAUCGUGACACUCCACCGAUCAAUACUGGAAUCUAUGUAAAUUAGAUUCGCGUCCUUGUUUUUUACAAAAUCAACUUAUUAAUUCGAAGUGUAUAGAAAUUAGGUCUGAGUGAGAGUGAGAGUGAGAGAGAGAGAGGAAAAAAGCAAAAAUAAACAAAUAAAUAAAUUACGUUUCACUUACAACUCAAGAUAUUCCACUAUUUGAAAAUGUGUUUUGUCUAGAAUAUAAAUUGUACACUUUAUAUGAUAUUGCAUGCCAGAUUUGAAAGCUCAGCAUUAUGGCACGUUUGAAAGUAUCACAAUAGUUUAUCUUUUAUUGAGGUCAUCGACGUGUUCUUUGGUCAAACCUCAUUGUCAUGGACAAAUGAGAAUUAUUACAGAAAAUUAUUUUAAAAGGUCACAUAUUGUUUAUUUAAUAAUAAUAGGGAUCUCAAAAAUUAAAUUAUUAUUAAUAAAAACAAUGAUAACAAUCAUAUUAACAACAACAACAACAACAAUAAUAAUAAUAAUAAAUAUUAUUAUUAUUAUUAAAAACAAUGACAGAAUAAUAAUAAUAACAAUGAUAAAAUAAUAAAACAAUAUAUUAAUAAAAGAUAAAAGUAGAAUUAUGAAAUUUAGUUAGAGUAAAAUGGUGGGUUUAAAGAAUGAAAACUUAAUUUUCAUGGGAGAUAGGAAUUAAAUUUUUGUUCCUUAAUCCUUAAAGUGCAUGAGCCCCAUAUAUUUCAUUCUCAUUUCUUUAUUGUUUUAAUAAGUAAAUAUCAUUAAUUAUUUUUAUUCUAAAUUCAAAUUCUUCAAUCCCCCAAGUAAACACUAUUAACGGUGCGAUGCUAUAUUAAUUAAAAAAGCUUGGGAGAGGACCAAUGAAGGGAAAGAAAAAAAAAACUUUUCUAAUAUUUUAUAAACUACUAUCGAACUUCAUUUUUUUCAAACUAUUAUAACCAUACCAAUAGGGUGACUUGAACUAUUUACCUUAAAAUUAAGAGGAGAAGAUGGGGAGAAGAUGACGCCCACUUCAAUUAAUUCAAUUGCAAUUAAAUAAUUAAAAAAUUGAAUAGAGAAUUUAAAAUUAAAAGAGAAGAAGAAUAACACUAACCUCCCUAGUGUUUUUCACUUUGACUACUUAAUUAAAUCUUUGAUUUUCUUCGUUACAAAAAAUCUUUAUUUUUUUAAUUAGUUAUUACAUCUUUUACGUUAAAAUAAUAUAAAAUACACUUUUUUUUUGCAUUAUAACCUUCCUAUUAAAUUUUAAUAUGGUUUGUUUGUCAAAAGGUAAAUUAAUAUGGUGGUACACUGUAGACUCUACGCAACAUUAGUUCGUCGCCAUUUAUUAACUUAUAUUUUAAUUUAUUUUUUUUAAAAAAAAGACAAUUUACAAACUUGGUAGCUGACAGCUGACUCCACAUUCUUUAAUUGGUAAGAAACAAGAAGUUAUAUUAUAUUCACAGCUGAUCAGCUAUCCAAAUCUUAUAUUUCUAAGUAAUGUUAAUAAAUAUUAUAAAAUUAUGUUGAACACUUUAAUUUUAAUAAAAAAAAUUUAUUAUAUCAUCAUCUAUUACACGAAGGGUCCGACUUUGGCGGUAUUGCUCCACUAUAAUGUACUUCUAUAACCAUAUGAUCAUAACAAUAAUUUAUUUUUUACUAUUUAUCAUUUUGAUCGUGUGGUUAUGAGACAAUACUCUACAAGGGAGCAACACCAUAGCCAUUGUGUUAAAUGAAUUACUAUUAAUUGUAAGAUAGAUUAAAUGUAUCUUACAAUUAAGUUUUUUAGUACAAAAAUGAAAAACGAAAUAGUGGAAUCAAAAGGCCCAGUGAAUGAAUUUUACCUAGUUAUAAGUUACAUUAAAUGUAAUUUAGAGAGACCCUCAAGGCAAUAUAUUAUAAGUAUUAUUAUAUGAUUUCUUUGAAUACUAAUAUAAUACUCAUUUUUAAUGGAUAUUUCUCAUGUUAUUAAACGCUAGAAUUUUUAUUUCCAACAUCUUAUACUUAGAUGGACAAUGAGGAAUUCAUUAGUUUGAAAAAAUUUUGACUACAAAUUCUGUGCAAUACUUUUUAUUGUAAAAUAGCCUUUUCUUUUAACUUCUUCUUCUCCUAAUCUCCUUCUUUUUUAAAAAAAAGUAUUUAUAGAAUUAUUAUUUUGUUUUGAGCACAAAAUUCAAUAUUGAAGAUAAAUAAAUAAAAUUAAUAAUUAAAUUGAAUAAAAUAAUUUUUGUACAACUUGACUUAAUUAUAUUGUUGUAAAUAUGCAUUAAAUCUCUUAAAAUUAUGUGUCUUAAACAUUUUUUGGUGUUUUAAACAAAUACAGUUAAUUAAUUUUUAAAAAAUUUAAAAAGUUUGAAUUUUUAAAAUUAAUAUUUAAAAUACACAUAAUAAUAAAAUUUUCAAAAUAAUUUUUAAAACGAAAUGACACCAAGAGAAAAAUACACUCGUUUUCUCACUUUCUCCUCCUUGUUCUGUUGUUCAUUUAUAUUAUUUUAAUCAUAUAUUCCGUUCAUUCACAAUAAAUUGACUUUUAAAUUAUAUUAGAUCAAAUCUGUUUACUAAAGAUGGAAAAACAUUCCAAGAACCUUACAUAACAUCACAAGUCACAAAAGCGCCACAAAACAAACAGAGGGAGAGAGAAAUUCUUACUUCGGUUCUAGAUGGCGACGGUCGGAGCUUGCAUCUUUUCGGCCGUUUCCUCGCCGGUUUUUCGUCGACAAAUUACGUCGUCGUCCGAGAAGCCGAAACGGAAUCCUAUAUUGAAGCGAGUAGCGGUGUCAACGGAGCGGACGUCAGCUGCAACGACGACAGUGAUGACGGAAACGACGCCGACGAGGAUAUUUGUGGAGAAGAAGAGUAGCGAGUUAGUAGAAGAUGAAGCUGAGACGAAACAGAGAGUUAACGUGAGAGAAUAUUCGGAGGAGGAGAGUGAAGGUAACGGAAAGAGCUUGAAAGAUUACUUUGAUGAAGCCGAAGAUAUGAUCAAAUCGUCAUCAGGCGGCGGUCCGCCCCGCUGGUUCUCGCCGUUAGAAUGCGGGUCCCACACUCGCGAUUCUCCUCUCCUCCUCUUUUUGCCUGGUGCGUUUCUCUUUAG
This 3993-nucleotide long non-coding RNA is filed under the name Citrus x clementina. Its description in RNAcentral is "Citrus clementina (C. clementina) long non-coding RNA (CCLE_LNC005357)". Lineage: Eukaryota; Viridiplantae; Streptophyta; Magnoliopsida; Sapindales; Rutaceae. The record is from RNAcentral.